AGAAUCAACGCUGGCGGCGUGCCUAACACAUGCAAGUCGAACGCGGUUACCCCGCAAGGGGUGACUGAGUGGCAAACGGGUGAGUAACGCGUGGGUGACCUACCUCUGAGUGGGGGAUAACGUUUCGAAAGGAACGCUAAUACCGCAUGACAUCCUGCCUUUGGACAGGCGGAAAUCAAAGCCGGGGAUCGCAAGACCUGGCGCUUGGAGAGGGGCCCGCGUCCGAUUAGCUAGUUGGUGGGGUAACGCUCACCAAGGCGACGAUCGGUA
Molecule: ribosomal RNA, 270 nt
Filed under: uncultured soil bacterium
Lineage: Bacteria
Description: partial 16S ribosomal RNA
Rfam family: Bacterial small subunit ribosomal RNA
Source: RNAcentral